UACAAAGCAGUUGUUGCAUGAGUUGUGACGAUUGCAGAAAUAUGGCAAAGCGGUGUGUUUUCGGUUGUUUGCCUAACAAAACCCUUUUCAGUAUCCCACGACUACCUUGGCUACGGUCGCGUUGGCUUGAAUUUUUGCACUUUGAAGAGGAAGGCUUAACGGUAAAUUCGCGGCUCUGUUCGAGGCAUUUCACGCCCGAGUGUUUCCAGAAUUUAACCCAGCACGAAAUGGGAUUUGCCAAAGUGUUGUAUCUGAAGAAUACCGCUGUUCCGUCGGUGUACACCGUCGGUGCACCACAAAGUACGAAGCCUCUGACACGGGAUGUGGGCUGCCAGUGUACCGCCCCAAUUUCAAAAAAGAGCAUCUCGGUUCAAGCGUCAUUCCCAAUCCCUAAACCGAAACGACGAAGUAAAGGUGAAGUUUAGGUUGUUGGUAGCGUUUAGGUUUAGCGCAUUAUUCAACCAAUUUCCCUCCUUUGUUCAUGUUCAAACAGCUAUUCAAGUGAAGUGCUCAGGGCAUCCUGUCAUCUCGUCCUCUGAGAAUGACAGUCUACAAACACCGGAGCUCAUAACAGCACCGAUAAAACGGCCGCGAAUGGAAGAAAACAGAGAUGAGCUCAACGACAGAUCCUUGUUGACCCUCAAAGAGCCAAAUGAUUUCACAUAUGAGCCUGAUCUCACAGAAGACGAUGAAAAAUAUUGCGCCAAACAUGGAAGUCACACAGUGAUAAAUAUGAGCGACAAUAGGGUGUUGGACAUUAAAUUAGAAAAUUGAUGCUCUUGACAAAGAGCGGUUUGAGGAGAGACUCCAUACUGGACCAAAAGCAUCAUAAACCUCCUCUACUGGUGCACAUUCUUCAAGAUGAGAAGAAGCUGUUGCAAGGUGGAGGUCCAUUGAAUUGCCAGUCAUGUGGAAGGUGUUCAUCACAACAAGCGGCACAUUGUCUGACUGCAUCCUCACACCUGUAGAGGAGCGAAUGUGGCUGAAACCAGAUUAUGUUGAUGUGCGGCUGAGGCUGCUUUUGGCAAAGAGCUUCGUCACCCCUGGACUAUUCCAGGAACAUCUAAAUGAGGGUCCCUAACCGUCUAUGUGAUGCUUAUUGGAGACCUGGCACGAAGACAUCUGCUGCCUUUUUUUUUUACCCUUACAUUAUAAGGACAUGCAGCUGUGCCUGUAAAUGUGUGUCUGAGUGAGAGAAAAAAAAAAGUGUGUAAUGAAAUUGUUGUUAUAAUUGUGGCAAUGAAAUCUGUUGCACAAUGCGAAAUGUUUUUGUACUUGUGCUUUGUUCUUCUGAUGGUAAUGCAGCUCUGGUCUUCUUCAAUAUGCUUGUUAUCCCAAGUAGCCCCAGCAACAUCUAACAAGAGACCUGUAAGGCUGUGACAGUAUUGUUUAGAGAACCAGGUUAGAGAAAAAAUGUAAUCUGCUGAUGUAAAAAAAAAAAAAAAAAGUGGUUU
This is a long non-coding RNA of Labeo rohita (rohu), 1454 nucleotides long. RefSeq lists it as uncharacterized. The transcript is spliced from 4 exons. Lineage: Eukaryota; Metazoa; Chordata; Actinopteri; Cypriniformes; Cyprinidae. The record is from RefSeq and is a predicted model, not a curated record.